Molecule: ribosomal RNA, 660 nt
Filed under: uncultured bacterium
Lineage: Bacteria
Description: bacterial SSU rRNA
Rfam family: Bacterial small subunit ribosomal RNA
Source: RNAcentral
CCGCAUGGGGAUAUUUGCUAAAGAUUCAUCGCUGAUAGAUAGGCAUGCGUUCCAUUAGGCAGUUGGCGGGGUAACGGCCCACCAAACCGACGAUGGAUAGGGGUUCUGAGAGGAAGGUCCCCCACAUUGGUACUGAGACACGGACCAAACUCCUACGGGAGGCAGCAGUGAGGAAUAUUGGUCAAUGGGCGUAAGCCUGAACCAGCCAAGUCGCGUGAGGGAUGAAGGUUCUAUGGAUCGUAAACCUCUUUUAUAAGGGAAUAAAGUGCGGGACGUGUCCCGUUUUGUAUGUACCUUAUGAAUAAGGAUCGGCUAACUCCGUGCCAGCAGCCGCGGUAAUACGGAGGAUCCGAGCGUUAUCCGGAUUUAUUGGGUUUAAAGGGUGCGUAGGCGGCCUUUUAAGUCAGCGGUGAAAGUCUGUGGCUCAACCAUAGAAUUGCCGUUGAAACUGGGAGGCUUGAGUAUGUUUGAGGCAGGCGGAAUGCGUGGUGUAGCGGUGAAAUGCUUAGAUAUCACGCAGAACCCCGAUUGCGAAGGCAGCCUGCCAAGCCAUGACUGACGCUGAUGCACGAAAGCGUGGGGAUCAAACAGGAUUAGAUACCCUGGUAGUCCACGCAGUAAACGAUGAUCACUAGCUGUUUGCGAUACAGUGUAAGCGGC